GAAGCCCUCCGCCACGUGAGGGCCCUCCAAAGAGACACCUUCGGUUACUCACAUCCUUUGCCGAUCCGCGCCGGUGGCCUGGUCAUGUUUGUCAGCUCGCCCUGGAAUGCCCCGUGUUGGCGGAGCCUUCAGCUGAGCAAACCACAAGCCACAGUGUCAACUGGCUGAGCGCCCACCAGGGCGGCAGGUUGCGCUCUUCCCGGGAAAUCACAGAAAAGGAAAUUGCUUUUUUGCAAGAGGAGGC
This 244-nucleotide long non-coding RNA is filed under the name Dasypus novemcinctus (nine-banded armadillo). RNAcentral describes it as "lncRNA (ENSDNOG00000051748.1)". Lineage: Eukaryota; Metazoa; Chordata; Mammalia; Cingulata; Dasypodidae. The record is from RNAcentral.